Molecule: ribosomal RNA, 94 nt
Filed under: uncultured bacterium
Lineage: Bacteria
Description: partial 16S ribosomal RNA
Rfam family: Bacterial small subunit ribosomal RNA
Source: RNAcentral
UGGCUCACCAAGGCGACGAUGCGUAGCCGACCUGAGAGGGUGAUCGGCCACAUUGGGACUGAGACACGGCCCAGACUCCUACGGGAGCAGCAUG